This 299-nucleotide unclassified non-coding RNA is filed under the name plant metagenome. RNAcentral describes it as "partial contains 5.8S ribosomal RNA, internal transcribed spacer 2, and large subunit ribosomal RNA". The stretch from base 1 to 105 matches the Rfam family "5.8S ribosomal RNA", at positions 50 to 154 of the family's 154-position model. The record is from RNAcentral.
GAAAUGCGAUAAGUAAUGUGAAUUGCAGAAUUCAGUGAAUCAUCGAAUCUUUGAACGCACAUUGCGCUCGCCAGUAUUCAGGCGAGCAUGCCUGUUCGAGCGUCAUUUCAACCAUCAAGCUCUGCUUGCGUUGGGGAUCCGCGGCUGCCCGCGGUCCCUCAAAAACAGUGGCGGGCUCGCUAGUCACACCGAGCGUAGUAACUCUACAUCGCUAUGGUCGUGCGGCGGGUUCUUGCCGUAAAACCCCCAAUUUCUAAGGUUGACCUCGGAUCAGGUAGGAAUACCCGCUGAACUUAAGC